CCCACAGUGGGGCCGUGCUGAGAAUUAACACUACUAUCACUCUGGUGCCCAGGAGGUGAAGUGAAGUCAAGUUCUGAGAAAGGAAACCAUUAUAAGCCACUUGCCUCAUUUGAACCCUCUGCGUGGUCAUCAAGGAAGGUGGAGUCUCAUCCCCUAACAGUCAUCUUGUUCCAUCAAUUACUGAGGAAGGAGUGUUAAAGUCUUCAGUUUUGAGUGUAUCUUGUGCCAGUGACAUUAGUAACAGCUGAAAAGAAUUCAUCUCCUUGGUUGACGAAGCAGAGGAUGGUUACCAGAACUGACCUGUUAUCACCAUGGUGACCCCACAGAGACUUCAGUUCUUAGGUAGUCAUCAGGACACAACUGCUACUGAGACAUCACCUCUCCCUUCCCCCUGAAUUCUCUGGAUCAAUGCUUCUCACACCUUUAUAUCUUAUGAGCUACUUUAAAAAGUGGGAACAUAGAUUUGCCAAGCUUUCACAUUACCAAGCAAGAGCAUUCAAAAAUUAAAUCACAUCUGCUAUCAUCAUAAAAGAAAAAACAUUGAAACACUAAAGAGUAGAAAGUUGUAAUAUUAGGAUAAAUAAUAAAGCUACCAUAAUUAAGUUAAAUCUAUGAUCUCUCUGUCUGUGACUGUAGAUUGUUUAAUUGCAUAUUUCUGUUAGUUACAAAUGGGGAAAUUUUAUCAUUAGUAAACAUCACUUUCUUUGAAUCCUCACUUGCAAUCAUAAUUAUAGCAUAUGCAUAGAGAGACUCUAAAAAUGCCUGAAUUUUAAAAAAAUGCUACUCUUGAUUUACGGCUAAGU
Long non-coding RNA from Balaenoptera acutorostrata (minke whale), 803 nucleotides. RefSeq lists it as uncharacterized. The record is from RefSeq and is a predicted model, not a curated record. The transcript is spliced from 4 exons. Lineage: Eukaryota; Metazoa; Chordata; Mammalia; Artiodactyla; Balaenopteridae.